RNAcentral lists this ribosomal RNA (458 nucleotides) under Bacillus sp. (in: firmicutes). RNAcentral describes it as "bacterial SSU rRNA". It matches the Rfam family "Bacterial small subunit ribosomal RNA", at positions 21 to 470 of the family's 1533-position model. Lineage: Bacteria; Bacillati; Bacillota; Bacilli; Caryophanales; Bacillaceae. The record is from RNAcentral.
GGCUCAGGACGAACGCUGGCGGCGUGCCUAAUACAUGCAAGUCGAGCGGACAGAAGGGAGCUUGCUCCCGGAUGUUAGCGGCGGACGGGUGAGUAACACGUGGGUAACCUGCCUGUAAGACUGGGAUAACUCCGGGAAACCGGAGCUAAUACCGGAUAGUUCCUUGAACCGCAUGGUUCAAGGAUGAAAGACGGUUUCGGCUGUCACUUACAGAUGGACCCGCGGCGCAUUAGCUAGUUGGUGGGGUAAUGGCUCACCAAGGCGACGAUGCGUAGCCGACCUGAGAGGGUGAUCGGCCACACUGGGACUGAGACACGGCCCAGACUCCUACGGGAGGCAGCAGUAGGGAAUCUUCCGCAAUGGACGAAAGUCUGACGGAGCAACGCCGCGUGAGUGAUGAAGGUUUUCGGAUCGUAAAGCUCUGUUGUUAGGGAAGAACAAGUGCGAGAGUAACUGCU